Scomber japonicus (chub mackerel) is the source of this 149-nucleotide long non-coding RNA. RefSeq lists it as uncharacterized. The transcript has 3 exons. Lineage: Eukaryota; Metazoa; Chordata; Actinopteri; Scombriformes; Scombridae. The record is from RefSeq and is a predicted model, not a curated record.
CUGGCCAUCGUCGUGCUCUUGUUCUCCGUGGCUCUGCUGAUAUUCUGCAAGAAAAGAUCAUCUAAACCCAAAGAACAACCUGAGGAAACAGAGUAUGCUAAUUUCACAGAGGACAGCCGACUGUAUGAUGAGAUCAGAGAGGGCAACGG